Molecule: unclassified non-coding RNA, 6865 nt
Filed under: Polistes dominula (European paper wasp)
Lineage: Eukaryota; Metazoa; Arthropoda; Insecta; Hymenoptera; Vespidae
Description: adenylate cyclase type 2-like, transcript variant X2
Source: RNAcentral
UUACUAACGAAUCGUUUUAGCGGUAGCGAUAAACCCGUGCUUUUCAUGAAAUUCAUUUCUAUCAGAAUAAUAUUUUGUAGUUUUUUUUAUUGAUUGAUAAUGGAGCAAAUACUAUCAAAGCUACUCGUAGCUGAUAAUGCUACUAUACUAGAGGGCACUGCAGAACUACGAAAAGCAUUCAAGGAUUAUGAAAGUACAGCCGCUUUAUACCGACUUGUUGUAUCUUCUGCCAAUCCACAGAUUAGGCAGUAUGCAGCGGUUUUACUUAGAAAGCGUUAUAGCAAAGGAAAAUAUUGGACAGAAUUACCAUUACAUAUACGUACUGACUUUAAAGCGACGAUCCUACCUGCACUAUGCAACGAAUCAGAAAAACCUGUAAAAAAUUCGAUAGUCCAAUUAAUAGGAACUAUAGUUAAACACGAAUUACCCAAUAACAGUUGGCCAGAAGUAUUGCAGUUAGUACAUCAAUUAGUUCUGAAUGAAAAUGUAUUUCACAAAGAGUUAGGUAUGUAUACAUUGGCAACUAUGACGGAGGUAGCACCAAACGCAUAUAAAGUUUAUGCAGACUCUGUUGUCACUCUUCUUUCUCAAACAUUAAAUAAUCUACGAGAUUCAGAAUAUUCUAUUGCAUUUUAUGCUAUACAAACGUUACAAAAUUUAAUUCCGUUAGUUAAUGAAAAUCAAAAUAUGAUAAAUGCCUACAGUCGUAUGAUGCCACAGAUUAUGUCGACGAUACAGAUUUUGGCAGCAGUCGAUGAAGAUAAAGCUACAACAUCUUUCGAAUUAUUAGACGAUUUGUGUGAAAAUGAAAUUAAUGUAAUAGCACCGCAUGUGAAGGCACUUAUUAGCAUGUGCCUUGUUAUUGCCAGUAACAAAUCUUUAUCCGAUCCUCUUCGCGUUAAAGCAAUUUGCUUUAUCAGUUGGCUUGCAAGAACUAGAAAAAAGAGUCUUAUUAAACACAAAUUGGUUGAACCAAUUGUCGAUACAUUAUUCGCUCUCAUGUCAUCUCGUCCCGAUGAUGACAGCGAAGAGGUUUACUUUAGUAACGAUAACGAAGAUAGUACACCUAUUACCUGUGCAACUCAAACAUUGGAUACAUUAGCAUUGCACUUGCCCCCUGAAAAACUAAUUCCACAUUUGUUGAAGCACAUUGAACCGGGUCUUCAAGGAUCUGACAUUUAUGCUAAAGCAUCAUCGCAUUUAGUUAUGGCAGUACUUGCUGAAGGUUGCUCGGAACAUAUACGAUCAAAGUAUUUAGAAUCAUUCUUACGGUGCAUUUGUCAAGGAAUUGCCGAUGCUGCACCUAUUGUAAGAAAUGCUGCUCUAUUUGCCCUCGGCCAAUUUUCCGAACACUUACAACCAGAUAUAUCACAAUAUUCGUAUGAACUAUUACCUGUAUUAUUCGAAUACCUUGGUCAAGUAUGUACUCUUAUUAGACAAGAGAAAAAAGAACCACCGUCGAUCGAUCGAAUGUUUUAUGCUCUUGAAAUGUUUUGUGAAAAUUUAAAUGAAAGUUUAUUACCGUAUUUACCUACUUUGAUGGAAAGAAUUUUUGAAAUAUUAAACGCAGACACUUCGUUACAUGUUAAAGAAUUAACAUUGAGUGUCAUUAGCUCGGCAGCUUAUGCCAGUAAGGAAAACAUGUUGCCUUAUUUUGAAAAAAUUAUUGCUAUUCUUAAUGGUUAUCUUACGGAGAAACAAACGGAUCAAACUAUGUGUCUUCAAAUGCAAGCAGUUGAUACACUUGGAAUAAUUGCUAGAACGAUAGGAGAUGACAAUUUUGCACCACUGGCAACUACAUCUCUCGAAUUUGGAUUAAAUUUAUUGAAGGAAACUGAAGACCCUGACAUGCGAAAAUCUAUUUACGGCUUAUUUGCUUCCAUUAGUAAAGUUAUGAAAAAAGAUAUUGCAAUAGCGCUACCUCAAAUUGUUGACUACGCGAUAAACAGUAUACAAAGUUCUGAAGGUAUAGUGACUCAUUUUAAAGAAGAUGAAACUACCGCUUUCUCCAUAUAUGAAGAUCUAAGCGAUGAAACUGAAGAUGAGGAGGAUAUAGAAAAUACAGAUAACGAAGAAGACGGAGAUGAUGAAGAUGUAGCGGGUUACAGCGUAGAAAAUUCUUACAUCGAAGAAAAGGAAGAAGCAAUCAUGGCACUUAAAGAGAUCGCUCAAUAUACAGAAGAAGCAUUUUUGCCAUAUCUUGAGAAAUCAUUUGAAGAGAUCUUCAAAUUAAUUAAUUAUCCCCAAGAGGAUAUUCGAAAGGCAGCUAUAGAGGCUUUAUUACAGUUUUGUAUUAAUUUUUCCAAAAUUAAUUCCAACGAAGGUAGACAAUCAAUGUUCAAAGCAUUGUCAGUUUUUAUCCCUAAACUGUCGGAAUUAAUAAGACUAGAUGACGAAAGAACAGUAGCUAUGAGUGGAUUGGAUGCGUAUUCGGAAAUGCUUAAAGAAAUAAAGUCUGAUGUUUUAAUUGGAGAAGGUCAUAAAUAUGCUAUUAUGAACUGCAUAACGGAUGUUAUGUCUGGUAAAACCAAGUGCCAAGAUCAGGAAGAAGGAGAGGACGUAGAGAUCGAAGCGGAACAAGACGAAUUGUUAGUCGAAUGUGCAGGUGAUCUACUUACAAACCUGAAAAAAGUCAUUUCGUCGGAAGACUUUGCAAUUUACUUUGAAGUAGUAUUAUCAAUGCUUCUAGAAAGAUCGAAAAAAAACAAAUCCGAUACGCAAAGAGCUUUUGCAGUUGGAACUAUUUCAGAGUGUAUUUCUGGCCUUAAACAAGCUGUCGCCGCUUUUUUGCCCCAACUACUUCCUAUGUUUUUAAAGUUUGCUAAUGAUUCUAAUGCCAAUGUUCGCAACAAUGCGAUAUAUGGACUCGGUGAGCUUGUCUUACAUGGCAAAGAAGCAGUUUUUCCUCACUAUCCUAAUAUUUUACAAACUUUAUCUAGUGCUAUUGCUAAAGAAUCGCACAUAGGUGCUCGAGAUAACGUUUUAGGUGCAAUAGCACGCUUGAUUAUUACGAAUUAUGAAAUUUUACCGCUGGAACAGGUAUUUCCAGUAUUCGUUAAUCAAUUGCCAUUGAAGGAAGAUUAUUUGGAGAACAAAGCUGUUUUUAAAAGUAUUUUAACCUUGUAUCAAGUUGGACAUAGUAUAUUACAAGCACACAUGCGUACUUUACUUCAAGUUGCAAUCAGCGUACUACAAGAAGGAAAAACUUCCGAUGACGAAACAAAAAGUCUUGUAAUGGAGUUCGUGCGAUCCGCUCAACGGGAUUUCCCAAACGAUUGGAAUUCAAUCUACACUGAAUUACCACCAGAAAUAGCUACAAAUAUUCAACAAAUGUUUUCUUAAAUUAUCAUUUGAAUUGAUUUAAAUAUUUACUUGUUUCGAAUUCAUUUCAAGGUAUUCUACACGAAAUACAACAUUUUCCCUAAUUCUAAUCGCUAAUUGUUAUCAUCGUUGUACACGAUUCUACUGUAAUAAUCUACUGAUGAUGUCAUUUUAUUCUGUAAUUAUCAAAAUAGCUAUUAUUUAAUCGUCGAUAUAAGAUUAUUGAAGAAAAUAACUUUGAAAUAUUUUACAUCUUGACGAGAAUUGGUAUUCUAUUUCUCAAACAAAAUGUCAGCAUUGGUUAACCACUUGGUUAGAAAAUUCUUGUCUCCCGAAGAAAGGUGCUAUUAUUCUCUAAUUGUUCUUGUAAUUAGUUCUUGUACAAAUCAUUGUUCAUCGAUUGACCAAAAAAGUUGAUAUAUUUGUAUGAAUUAAUGUCUACUUUGUAGAGACGACUCCCUGUUAAUUAUUAUGCUAAUAGAAUUAUGCAGUUACAGUGACAAAAAAAAAAUAAUAAUUUUGUUUGAGAAAGAAGCAAAUAUUAUAAAGAUAUAUAUUUAUUUUUAUCAUAUAAAAAAUGAUUAACGUUGCAAAAAUCUGAAUUUUGUUACCGACUGUAAAAUGUGUGCCGCCAUCUAGCGGUACGAGUUAUUACUUUAUUUUACCGACCGGUAAAAUAUGUGUCGCCAUCUAAUCAGAAAAGUACGUACUACUUAUUACUUGAAAUAAAUAUUUUACAUAAAUUUAUUUAAUGAAUACUUUCAUGUUUUACGUGUAUGUAUGUUCUCUCUCUCUCUCUCUCUCUUUCGUUAUGCUGUUACAGGACACGUCAUACUAUUAAAAAAACAGAUUGUAAAUACAUCCGAUUCCCAUCAUAUCUGCUGAGUACUUGGAAAAAUUUCCUGGUAUUAAAAAGACAAUCAUAAGACUUUCAAUGGAUUAUCACACACAUCAGCAGCUUCAAAACAACGUACUAGAUUUUCAAUUGACUUUUUAUAUAAAUUGAAAAAUAUCUAUCUUCAAAAUCAAACACACACACACACAUUAAAGUAUUGUAAAAGAAAUAUGGUAUAGUAUUAUAAAAGAAGAUAUUAAUUCAUUCAUACAAAUUGAAGUUGGUGAAUAAUACUUCCGAUGAAUAAUACAUUUUUGCCUUUGAUUAUUGCUGUUUCAAAUUGAACAAUUUCAUUGUCCCACCAUAUAUAUAUAUAUACUUCAUUUUGAGAUGCUAUCGAUUGUUUUUUAUCAGAAACAGAUAAUUAUUUGCUUUAGUUGAUUUUUCGAAGUCAAAUCGAAAGCAUUUACUUGAUGAUACAAAACUUGAACGCUAUCAAAUAACUCCAAAGUGAUGUUUAUAAUAUGUGUUAUUUAAGAAGGUGUUAAACAAUCAACUAUACUAUAAAAAUCUUCAGAUCUGUCGAAGGAAAAAUAUUACAGUAAAAAGCGAUCUCUCUAUUAAAUACAUAAAUUCUUACUUUAGCGAGAAAGAUAAAGCAACCAGCAAGUUGCAUCGACCGUCACGACGAUCGAUGACAACGAUCGAUGACAAUGAUCGAACGUACAAAAUGUCAAGAAAUCAUUCUAAGAAAUAUAAAACGUUCAUCGCUUCGGAAAAAAGGAAUAUAAUGAAAAAUUUCAUAUCAUAUCGAUUUGAUCGAUAUCAAAAGUGUUCGUCGAGAUUAGUCAUCGCGGUGAACACGCGUCCUUGAAAAAUCAGGCAUGACUCGAAUGAAAAAGACGUCACCUCGUAGGUGUACGUCGAGGACAAUCGGAAAUAUAACGAGGUGAUGAAGGACAAGGAGCAAUGUAUUAUUAUUACUUUAAUCGUCUCGUCAUCAUUCAAUUCAAUAGAAAACAAAAGUCUAUAGUUAAUCGUUAACGAAUCAAACUAACAAGUUAGAAAUCGGAGAAGAAGUACAAUUUUUACGAUAUCAUUUAAAUGAUUUCCAAACAAUAUGCCAUAAAAUAUAUUAUUGAGGAUACUGUUCAAAGAAAAAACAGUUGAAAGGAAUAAUAUUAUAACUGUUUUUCUAAAACAACUGAACAACUUUGCUUUGAAAGGAAAUUAAAAAACCGUCGAAAGUACGGUGGGUAGUAUCGACAAUUAAUCCAGUUAAUAUUUAUUAUACAAAGAAAAAAGACAUAAUAGAUUAUGCAAAUGAAAACAACUUUUCAUUGGAAUGAAUUAAAUAGACGACAACUCUCCAAUUGAAAAGAUACAGGUAUAUACUAGCUAGAGAGAGUUGUCAUUUGACAAGAAAUUGUUCUGCCAUCAUAAAAUCGUCGACCGUUCGUUUGUUCGUUCGUUUGUUCGUUCGUUUGUUCGUUCUUUCAGUUCACACCUGUCGUUGGACUUGUAAAGGCCACCGCACGAACGAGAUAUUGAGAGCUCUCACACAUAUUCCAGUGGAAAGUUUCGUUUGAACUAGAACGCUUGCUUAGUUUGCUCUUCGAGAUACUCCGGAACGCAUCCCAACGCAACUGUCUUUGCCUCUUUGUUUCGAUCACGGAUAUAUAUAUAUAUUUAUUAUUAUUAUUAUUAUUAUUUGCGUGACAUUUGUGUAAUCAUUUGAAAUAUUUCUUCAACUCUUUUACAACCAAAGAUUGGACGUUUGUAACGCCAAAUAGAAAGUCCACUUUUGGAAGGUAAAAAGGGGGACCGGAAAGAUACCGGAGAACAUUAUUCGUAUUGUAUCGUUCGCAUACGAAGGAGAAACGAACAGGAUGUAAUAAGGAUAUCCGCAUUGAUUUGAAAGCUUCUCCUUUAACAAGAGAAGAUAUAUCCUACAGAAUACGAAAUUGAAUGGAACACACUCGUUGGAAGGAGAAACACGUAACACGAAUUACAGAAGCGAGAAUGCUCAUGGAGAAAGUGUGACAUUCUGUAAGAUAGAAGGACAGACACCGUGAUAAAAGUUCCUUCGGAGGUGACCGAAAAGAAGCAAAACUGUUCAAAGGAAGAUAUCAAAAUAAUACUUUUUAAUCGAAGAAAUGAAAAAAAUUAUUUGACAAACAAGUUGAAAAAUGUAAAUGAUGAAAAUAUGCUAAGGAUGUAAAGGAGUGUUAUCGUAGUAACACAUUAGUUGCUAACCAUAGGGGAACUUGAAAGCUUAUUUAAAAGGGCGCAACUAGUUUCUCGAGUGGCCCAUUUCUCUUAUCGCGAUAAACUUUGAAGAAUCGGUCCGGUGUGUCAGGGGAAACAAAGUGGUGAAAAAAGUGGUGAAAAAAGUGGUGAAAAAAGUGCUGAAAGAACUAGGGUGAAUCAAAAGUAUUGCGAUAUUUGAACGCGAUGAACGGAGAAAUCUCGACGCCGUCGACGCCGUCGUCGUCGUCGUCGUCGUCGUCGACGGCGACGUCGGCGUCGAUAUGGUCGUCAUCAUCGUCAACAUCUUUACCCUCCUCUAUCAUAAUCUUUUCUUUAUCCUUCUCCUUCUCUCACUUUUUUGCCACCAUCUCUACUUUAACUACCACUACCAGUACUUGACUAUUAUCAUCGUCUUCCGGCUGAUCGCAAGAACACCUACGAGGAAUAAUAAAAUGGACG